Molecule: ribosomal RNA, 296 nt
Filed under: uncultured Bacillota bacterium
Lineage: Bacteria; Bacillati; Bacillota
Description: uncultured Firmicutes bacterium partial 16S ribosomal RNA
Rfam family: Bacterial small subunit ribosomal RNA
Source: RNAcentral
CCCGCAACGAGCGCAACCCUUAUCAUUAGUUUGCUAACAUUCAGUUGAGAACUCUAAUGAGACUGCCAGUGAUAAACUGGAGGAAGGUGGGGAUGACGUCAAAUCAUCAUGCCCCUUAUGACCUGGGCUACACACGUGCUACAAUGGCCGGUACAAAGAGUUGCGAAACUGUGAAGUUAAGCUAAUCUCAUAAAGCCGGUCUCAGUUCGGAUUGUAGUCUGCAACUCGACUACAUGAAGUCGGAAUCGCUAGUAAUCGCGAAUCAGAAUGUCGCGGUGAAUACGUUCUCGAGUCUU